AUCGCUUUUGGCCUUUUGGCUUAGAUCAAGUGUAGUAUCUGUUCUAAUCAGUUUAAUAUAUUCCAUACUCCCCGGCACCUCCCUUUCUGCCCCAAACAUCCCUCUUUCCCUUCCCCCCCAUACCGAUGAUUUGGGUUGAGUUUCUGUCAUUUGCACCAAAAAAAGAAUCCUCUUUGGAACUCAACUCACU
Small nuclear RNA from Sorex araneus (European shrew), 190 nucleotides. RefSeq annotates it as U2 spliceosomal RNA. Lineage: Eukaryota; Metazoa; Chordata; Mammalia; Eulipotyphla; Soricidae. The record is from RefSeq and is a predicted model, not a curated record. The transcript has a single exon.